Molecule: non-coding RNA, 162 nt
Filed under: bovine gut metagenome
Description: Lysine riboswitch
Rfam family: Lysine riboswitch aptamer
About the family: Riboswitches are metabolite binding domains within certain messenger RNAs that serve as precision sensors for their corresponding targets.
Source: RNAcentral
AGGUAGAGGCGCGCCGAUUAAGAGUAGCCGCCCGCGUUUUCCUGUCGGAGCAGGGCCCGCGGUGAAAGGAUGAGGUGCCGAAGCCGGUAAUCGUCCGAAGAUUAUCGGGCUGGUAUGCUGCAAAAUAUGCUUCAUACUGUCACGGAACGUGGAGAGCUAUCA